RNAcentral lists this ribosomal RNA (443 nucleotides) under uncultured bacterium. Its description in RNAcentral is "partial 16S ribosomal RNA". It matches the Rfam family "Bacterial small subunit ribosomal RNA", at positions 338 to 795 of the family's 1533-position model. The record is from RNAcentral.
CCUACGGGUGGCUGCAGUGGGGAAUAUUGGGCAAUGGGCGCAAGCCUGACCCAGCAACGCCGCGUGAAGGAAGAAGGCUUUCGGGUUGUAAACUUCUUUUCUGAGGGACGAAGAAAGUGACGGUACCUCAGGAAUAAGCCACGGCUAACUACGGGCCAGCAGCCGCGGUAAUACGUAGGUGGCAAGCGUUAUCCGGAUUUCUUGGGUGUAAAGGGCGUGUAGGCGGGAACGCAAGUCAGAGGUGAAAAAUCAGGGCUCAACCCUGAGCCUGCAUUUGAAACUGUUUUUCUUGAGUGCUGGAGCGGCAAUCGGAAUUCCGUGUGUCGCGGUGAAAUGCGUAGAUAUUCGGAGGAACACCAGUGGCGAAGGCGGCUUGCUGGACAGUAACUGACGCUGAGGCGCGAAAGCGUGGGGAGCAAACAGGAUUAGAUACCCCGGUAGUC